UACGGAGGGUGCAAGCGUUAUCCGGAUUCACUGGGAUUAAAGGGUGCGUAGGCGGAUUGGUAAGUCCGUGGGGAAAUCCCCGAGCUUAACUUGGGAACUGCCGUGGAUACUAUCAGUCUUGAAUAUCGUGGAGGUAAGCGGAAUAUGUCAUGUAGCGGUGAAAUGCUUAGAUAUCUGGAGGAACACCGGUGGCGAAGGCGGCAUCCUGGACCAAUAUUGACGCUGAGGAGCGAAAGCCAGGGGAGCAAACGGG
This 253-nucleotide ribosomal RNA is filed under the name uncultured bacterium. Its description in RNAcentral is "partial 16S ribosomal RNA". It matches the Rfam family "Bacterial small subunit ribosomal RNA", at positions 524 to 776 of the family's 1533-position model. The record is from RNAcentral.